Paralichthys olivaceus (Japanese flounder) is the source of this 2358-nucleotide non-coding RNA. The record is from RefSeq and is a predicted model, not a curated record. NCBI's taxonomy places the organism in Eukaryota, Metazoa, Chordata, Actinopteri, Pleuronectiformes, Paralichthyidae.
AGUUCAUGGCAGUUACGCAGCUUCCUAAAGUCCCUUAAAUGCAUCAUCUGCAGUCUGUCGCAGGUGCAGGUCGUGAUGAAGACGAGCAGAGAACUGAAGUUUGGUCUGAGACAAACUGAAUCAUGAUCAAAGUUAAGAGUCGAAGUGACCCCAGUGUCUCCAGAGGGAAGAAUCACCGACCACUGACCUACCGACGAGCCCGAGGAGGAUGAGAGUCUGUGAGUUCUUCUGAAGGUCGAGGGUUAUCCUGUGUCUGGUGUGUUUAGUGUGGGCUGGAGGUCUCGCUGCCAAUCUCUUCUCCAAUCGAGUGAAUCCAAGAAAACAUGACAAAUUUCUCUGCUUGUCACCGUUGGAGCAUCAGGAGCUGUGUUAAUUAGCAGCCUGUGUACGGAGGCCUCUGAGUGACAAACAAGACAGAAGCGCUCACUCACGCAGAUAUGUGUGGGUAGAUAGGAAGCUGGCACGACGCUGGCGGUUCCGACAUGCCAGACUGAAGGAUGAAUGUCACCAUGGGCGCUAAUGCCAGUUGAGAGAUGCCACUGUAGAUUCCACCCCGAGACAUCUGGAAUCCCAGGUGCCUGUCCCACUGAUCCAGGUCUAAGCUGCAGGAAGCCAAGUGUCCUCGUGGAUGCCAAGAGCCUCGCAACAGCAGCCAAGCUACACUGGAGCUUAUCAGCGCCACCACAACCCUUUAUGGGCCUAUUCACCUCAAUCAAAGCUGUUAUUUAGGUAACGGGCCAAGAUGGCGGAUAUUGCUUCGCUCCAAUUACCCACCAUGUCUCCUCCGCGUUUCUCUGCCAGCUUCCCCACAAGCCCUGAUUCUCCUCCGAGGGCCCAGGUGCUCUGGCGCUGCUCUGCUUCCUCAGUGUCUGUGCAGAGGGAGAGCAUUCAGAACAGAAGAGCUCUGUCAGUGCUAGAUUCACUCACAAGGGCUAUUGAUGACUGCUGUGGUGUUUGUUACAGAGAGUUGUGUCAAUAGUGGGAAAGUGUCUCACAGUGUGAUGUCAACUACAAAUCAACACAUCUGAAAUCAGAUUUUUCUCCCAGAAGGCAUUGAUCAAUAUGAUAGAAGUAUGAAAAUAGAGCUGUGAUGAUCAGUUAAAGAUUCUUAAUGAAUCUGUAUAAUAUUUCAGCCAUCUGCAAUCACAAGUUCCAAACAUGUUUGCACAUUAAUAGAUUAAUAAUUUACAGUCCUAAUGUUAAAUGCACAGUUCUGUACAGACAUUUUACAUUGCUUAUAUUUUGUCUCAAUAAUCACCACACCCUGCACAUUUUGAACUUUUAAUUUAAUGUUUGACAACUUGUUAAAUACUCUGUGCCAAGUGCUUAUUAACAGUUCUUCAAUGGUAAACAUAAUACUAUAUUAUUGGCACAUUAGUGUUGUCAUUGUAAACAUGUGGGCAUGCAGACAUUAGUAUUUAAAGUUAAUUUGAAUUACUAACUUGCUGCAGUUUUAAGCUAUUUGAAUUGCUUUUGUAUAAUUGUGCUUUAGAAUAUGUAAAACUUGAACUUCAUUUUUUUACGACUUUAGUUUUACAUGUUCUUAUACUAUGCAUGUGUAGUAAGUGUAAGCCUAUAUAUGUAUGAAUAUAUUUAUAUUCCAGAAUGACAACUUUAUUUUAGCAUAUUUUUUUUAUCACUACCAAGUUUCUGGGCAAACCUAGAACAUGACAGAAUUUAAAAUCAUAUUUAUAAUGGUCUCAGAAUAAUCUCAUUACACAGGUUGGAAAGGCAAGGAAAACUCAUUUGUAUAUCACCUGCGAAGAUAUAAACUCAACAUCUUUAAACACAACCACGUUCUCCAUCGUCUCUUUGGUUUAGAUACGACCACAAGUUAGAGUUACAUUUAUCUGUAGUUCACAUACCUCAUAUUAAAACUUGGGUAGGGAACAUUUCUGGUUUCAGAAAUGUAUGAACCCAGAAACCUAUGAAAAAUAUAUGAAGAGCAGCAGUUGGAGCGCAGCUUUAGGUGACUGGUGCAGCAGCAGGUAUACGGCAAAGGAGAGAGCUGAGCACUGACAGGCGUCACCGGGGUGAACUGAAUAUAUGUUGCAACGAGGAGAGUGUAUCACAACCACACGUUGUCUGCCUGGUGUGGCUUUCCACAUUGCAUUGUGGGACACCAUGUUUUCCCACAAUACAAUGCACAUGCCUCUCUGUUUGAAAGGGAUUGGAUAGUAAUCAGUAACUAAAUUAACAUUGUACAUCUAAAUUGUGCAUAGCCCACUUCAUAGUAUUGUUGGAAUUGAGACAAGGUAAUUGAGUUAUAUCUGCCUCCAAGUUCUUUCUGAAAUAGUGAAUCUCUUAUCAUCUGAGCAAGAUGAAAAACCUUUUGUUUUAGAAGAUUGGCUGAAAAAG